AAAUUUUACUGGCUUAAUCCCGUAAACACGGGAACGGAGGAACCAAUUUUUUUGGGGCUAAUUCUGCUUUAGCAGAAGGGAUGAAAGGACUCUUUCGCCAUCCUGCCCGUCAGCUAACUUCGUCGGCUAAAGCGAAGGAGGUC
RNAcentral lists this small RNA (143 nucleotides) under Bacillus sp. (in: firmicutes). RNAcentral describes it as "Bacillus sp. c-di-AMP sequence". It matches the Rfam family "c-di-AMP riboswitch aptamer (ydaO/yuaA leader)". From Rfam's summary of the family: This family represents a conserved RNA structure found upstream of the ydaO and yuaA genes in Bacillus subtilis and related genes in other bacteria. The ydaO/yuaA element is thought to act as a genetic "off" switch for the ydaO and yuaA genes in its native state. Lineage: Bacteria; Bacillati; Bacillota; Bacilli; Caryophanales; Bacillaceae. RNAcentral also lists the same sequence under 1 other name. The record is from RNAcentral.